Molecule: ribosomal RNA, 590 nt
Filed under: uncultured soil bacterium
Lineage: Bacteria
Description: bacterial SSU rRNA
Rfam family: Bacterial small subunit ribosomal RNA
Source: RNAcentral
CGAACGCUGGCGGCAGGCUUAACACAUGCAAGUNCGAGCGGGCGUAGCAAUACGUCAGCGGCAGACGGGUGAGUAACGCGUGGGAACGUACCUUUUGGUUCGGAACAACACAGGGAAACUUGUGCUAAUACCGGAUAAGCCCUUACGGGGAAAGAUUUAUCGCCAAAAGAUCGGCCCGCGUCUGAUUAGCUAGUUGGUGAGGUAACGGCUCACCAAGGCGACGAUCAGUAGCUGGUCUGAGAGGAUGAUCAGCCACAUUGGGACUGAGACACGGCCCAAACUCCUACGGGAGGCAGCAGUGGGGAAUAUUGGACAAUGGGCGCAAGCCUGAUCCAGCCAUGCCGCGUGAGUGAUGAAGGCCCUAGGGUUGUAAAGCUCUUUUGUGCGGGAAGAUAAUGACGGUACCGCAAGAAUAAGCCCCGGCUAACUUCGUGCCAGCAGCCGCGGUAAUACGAAGGGGGCUAGCGUUGCUCGGAAUCACUGGGCGUAAAGGGUGCGUAGGCGGGUCUUUAAGUCAGGGGUGAAAUCCUGGUGCUCAACUCCAGAACUGCCCUUGAUACUGAGGAUCUUGAGUUCGGGAGAGGUGAGUG